This 902-nucleotide ribosomal RNA is filed under the name Xanthoparmelia mougeotii. RNAcentral describes it as "SSU rRNA". It matches the Rfam family "Bacterial small subunit ribosomal RNA", at positions 356 to 1146 of the family's 1533-position model. Lineage: Eukaryota; Fungi; Ascomycota; Lecanoromycetes; Lecanorales; Parmeliaceae. The record is from RNAcentral.
GAGGAAUGUAUAGCAAUAGCUACUUGCAUCAUUGUAGAUAUGAUGCAAGAUCGACUAUGUUGAAUAAAAUUCUAGGUAGAAUUAUGAUAAUGACAUUGUCUGCCUAUGUGUCUUGACCAAAUUACGUGCCAGCAGUCGCGGUAAUACGUAGAAGACUAGUGUUAUUCAUGUUUAAUCGGUUUAAAGGGUACCUAGACGGUAGAUCAAGCUUUCUAAUAAGUGAAAAGGACUAAUUUACUAGAGUUACUUAUGAGGGGGUAUUAAAGUACUGCUGGUGUAGAGAUGAAAUUCUGUCAUACCUCUUUUCAAAAGAAAAACCAUGGCACAGGUAUAGGCGAAGGCAUCCCCUUAUGUGAUAACUGACGUUGAGGGACGAAGGCUUUGUGUAGCGAACAGGAUUAGAUACCCUAGUAGUCGAAGCAGAAAAUGAUGAAUGUCAUAGAUUAGAUGUAUAAGUUUAUUCUAUAAAUGAAAGUGUAAGCAUUCCACCUCAUGAGUAAUUUGGCAACAUUGGAACUGAAAUCAUUAGACCGUUUCUGAAACCAGUAGUGAAGUAUGUUGUUUAAUUUGAUGAUCCGCAAAAAACCUUACCACAAUUUGAAUAUUUAUAUUUUUUUUAUUGUUUUCUUCUGAUUUUCUUCCUUUUUCCUUCCUUUUCUUAUUGAUUUUCUUCUUCUUUAGAAGAAGAAAAAGAAAAUAAGAAAAGGAAAAAAGAAGAACGAGAUAAUACUGAUAUAGAUCAAAAAAGGAAGAAAAUUAAGCAAGAGGCAAUAAGAUAUAUUUACAAGCGUUGCACGGCUGUCUUCAGUUAAUGUCGCGAGACUUUGGUUAGUUCCAUUAAAUUAACGUAAACCCUUACUUUAUUUUUAUAUAGAGUAGUUCCCCGCUAUAUUGGAUAUGAU